Molecule: ribosomal RNA, 445 nt
Filed under: uncultured bacterium
Lineage: Bacteria
Description: bacterial SSU rRNA
Rfam family: Bacterial small subunit ribosomal RNA
Source: RNAcentral
CCCAGACUCCUACGGGAGGCAGCAGUGGGGAAUAUUGCACAAUGGGGGGAACCCUGAUGCAGCGACGCCGCGUGGGUGAAGGAGUACUUCGGUACGUAAAGCCCUAUCAGCAGGAAAGAAAAUGACGGUACCUGACUAAGAAGCCCCGACUAACUACGUGCCAGCAGCCGCGGUAAUACGUAGGGGGCAAGCGUUAUCCGGAUUUACUGGGUGUAAAGGGAGCGUAGACGGCAGUGCAAGUCCGGAGUGAAAGCCCGGGGCUCAACCCUGGGACUGCUCUGGAAACUGUAAAGCUGGAGUGCGGGAGGGGCAGGCGGAAUUCCUGGUGUAGCGGUGAAAUGCGUAGAUAUCAGGAGGAACACCGGCGGCGAAGGCGGCCUGCUGGACCGUAACUGACGUUGAGGCUCGAAAGCGUGGGGAGCAAACAGGAUUAGAUACCCGAGUA